Molecule: long non-coding RNA, 436 nt
Filed under: Struthio camelus australis
Lineage: Eukaryota; Metazoa; Chordata; Aves; Struthioniformes; Struthionidae
Description: lncRNA (ENSSCUG00000010076.1)
Source: RNAcentral
CUCGCCUGCGCAAGGCUGUCAUCUACCUGCAGUGCUGCUACCGCCGGGCCUGGGCACGCAGGGAGCUGUGGCGCCUGCGUGCUGAGGCCCGCUCUGUUGAGCAUUACAAGCAGCUGCACAAGGGCAUGGAGAUCAAGGUGAUGCAGCUGCAGUGCAGACUGGAUGAGCAGGCCCAGGAGAAGCAGUGCCUGUCUGAGCAGCUCUUGGCGCUGAAUGCUGCACAUGCUGUCGAGGUACAGCGGUUGCAGGCUGAGAUGCAGCGGCUGCAGGAGGAUGCAGCAUGUGAUGCCCGUGUCCAGCACCUGCAGGAGCGACUGGCUGAGCUGGAGCAGCACAGUGCUGAGAGCAGGCUGGGCCAGGAGUUGGAGGAGCUGAAACAGCGCUUGGCAGAGGUGGAAGCUGUGAAGUUGCACCUGGGGGAGGAGAGAGAUGCUCU